Rhincodon typus (whale shark) is the source of this 466-nucleotide long non-coding RNA. RefSeq lists it as uncharacterized. NCBI's taxonomy places the organism in Eukaryota, Metazoa, Chordata, Chondrichthyes, Orectolobiformes, Rhincodontidae. The transcript is spliced from 2 exons. The record is from RefSeq and is a predicted model, not a curated record.
CUGAAGGCGGGACCUCGCCUCAGAGUUUUCAACUCUUGGGGCUGCGGAGAAGAAAAACUGGGCAGGCGGGAAAGUCACUUUUGUAGCUCCUUCCCAUCGCGAGUCGGGGAGUUGCAGAGAAAAAACAUUUAUUCCGCUCUGGUACUCCACCUGGAGGCGUGCCAUCCCCCAGCCUAACGGGUCGAAUUAAAAAGUCUGUAAGGCGGUCUCAACUUCUUCAUCAGAAUCCCAGGUUCAGUACAGCAGCAUUCCAGAACUUCUGCUGCUUCUGCUUCAAGUUUGAGCUGAUUGUGCUACUUAACUCUCAAUUAACUUGCCGAGCCUUCAACAGAGAAGACUUUUCUUCAGAUUAUCCGAAUCCUGAAAGAAAGUUACAAAUAAUCAAUGUCCAUCUGGGGUGCCAAUUUGACCUCAGGCAAUAGACAUUUUUCUUGACUUACUAUACAUGAAUAAAGAAGUCCUGGAA